This 498-nucleotide ribosomal RNA is filed under the name uncultured bacterium. RNAcentral describes it as "partial 16S ribosomal RNA". It matches the Rfam family "Bacterial small subunit ribosomal RNA", at positions 28 to 523 of the family's 1533-position model. The record is from RNAcentral.
GAUGAACGCUAGCGGCAGGCCUAAUACAUGCAAGUCGGACGGGAUUUGGGAGCUUGCUCCUAAUGAGAGUGGCGCACGGGUGCGUAACACGUAUGUAACCUACCUUAAUCAGGGGGAUAGCCUCUCGAAAGAGAGAUUAACACCGCAUAAUAUAUUUUUAUGGCAUCGUAGGAAUAUCAAAUAUUUAUAGGAUUAAGAUGGGCAUGCGGAACAUUAGCUAGUUGGUAAGGUAACGGCUUACCAAGGCUACGAUGUUUAGGGGAUCUGAGAGGAUGACCCCCCACACUGGUACUGAGACACGGACCAGACUCCUACGGGAGGCAGCAGUAAGGAAUAUUGGUCAAUGGGCGCAAGCCUGGACCAGCCAUGCCGCGUGCAGGAAGACGGCCCUAUGGGUUGUAAACUGCUUUUGUACCGGAAUAAACCCCCAGACGUGUCUGGGGCUGAAUGUACGGUAAGAAUAAGGAUCGGCUAACUCCGUGCCAGCAGCCGCGGUAA